AGCUUUUCAACAACUUAAUCCGCACCAGAGAAAUCCGAUUUGGCAUAAUUACUCAAGAAUGCUUGAAUUCCAUAAAUAUUUUUCAACAGCUGUCUAGCUGAAUCAAAUAGCUUAGACUUUUAUCAACAACUCGGACUUCAAUCAAAAUAAUUUAGCUAACUUAAUUGACCUUCUUCAUAAUUUAAAAGAAAACCAAAAAUUCUUUUAUGACAUCAUGAUACCGUACUAGAUUAGUAGUACGUUGAGGAUUCCGCUAUUAUGUGACUUUGUCAUACUACACCAUACCAAAAUUGGCUAACGAUCUUUCGAUCACAACCAGCACUAGGUUCAACUGCAUGGAUGACUCCAUCGUUUACCAUACACCAUAUCAAUGAUGCGCAUGGUUAGAAAUACAUUUUGAAAAUUUUCAAAUCAUUUUUGUCUUAGCCGAAAAAAUUGGCAUAGACAUAAGAAUAAAGGUAUUGUUUUUAAACAUCAUUGGUUCAAUCACAAGAUCCAAUGUUUUUCAAGAAAACAGAAGUGCGAAUCAUCAGCACGAAAUCAAUAAACUUUGAAAAUCUAGCAGAGCUAGAAGAUUUAGAAAAUCCAUGUUUCUCCAUCAUCUUCAAUCUUUACUCCAUUGCUUCAUUCUAUC
Molecule: long non-coding RNA, 634 nt
Filed under: Panax ginseng (ginseng)
Lineage: Eukaryota; Viridiplantae; Streptophyta; Magnoliopsida; Apiales; Araliaceae
Description: long non-coding RNA (PGIN_LNC002684)
Source: RNAcentral